Molecule: ribosomal RNA, 406 nt
Filed under: uncultured prokaryote
Also listed under: 1 other name
Description: bacterial SSU rRNA
Rfam family: Bacterial small subunit ribosomal RNA
Source: RNAcentral
UCGAGAAUCUUCCGCAAUGCGCGAAAGCGUGACGGAGCAAUGCCGCGUGUCGGAUGAAGGCCUUCGGGUUGUAAACGACUGUCGACAGGGACGAACUAAUGACGGUACCUGUAGAGGAAGCCACGGCUAACUACGUGCCAGCAGCCGCGGUAAUACGUAGGUGGCGAGCGUUGUCCGGAUUUAUUGGGCGUAAAGGGUCCGUAGGAGGUUUCGUAAGUUUGACGUGAAAUCCCGGAGCUCAACUCCGGAACUGCGUUGAAAACUGCGCGACUAGAGUACUGGAGAGGUAAGCGGAAUACCAGGUGUAGCGGUGGAAUGCGUAGAUAUCUGGUAGAACACCAAAAGCGAAGGCAGCUUACUGGACAGAGACUGACUCUCAAGGACGAAAGCGUGGGGAGCAAACAGG